AGUGAACGCUGGCGGUACGCCUAACACGUGCCAGUCGAACGGCAGCACAGUAAGAGCUUGCUCUUACGGGUGGCGAGUGGCGGACGGGUGAGGAAUACAUCGGAAUCUACUUUUUCGUGGGGGAUAACGUAGGGAAACUUACGCUAAUACCGCAUACGACCUACGGGUGAAAGCAGGGGAUCUUCGGACCUUGCGCGAUUGAAUGAGCCGAUGUCGGAUUAGCUAGUUGGCGGGGUAAAGGCCCACCAAGGCGACGAUCCGUAGCUGGUCUGAGAGGAUGAUCAGCCACACUGGAACUGAGACACGGUCCAGACUCCUACGGGAGGCAGCAGUGGGGAAUAUUGGACAAUGGGCGCAAGCCUGAUCCAGCCAUACCGCGUGGGUGAAGAAGGCCUUCGGGUUGUAAAGCCCUUUUGUUGGGAAAGAAAAGCAGCAGGUUAAUACCCCGCUGUUCUGACGGUACCCAAAGAAUAAGCACCGGCUAACUUCGUG
RNAcentral lists this ribosomal RNA (492 nucleotides) under uncultured bacterium. RNAcentral describes it as "partial 16S ribosomal RNA". It matches the Rfam family "Bacterial small subunit ribosomal RNA", at positions 29 to 507 of the family's 1533-position model. The record is from RNAcentral.